GAUGAACGCUGGCGGCGUGCCUAAUACAUGCAAGUCUAGCGAACAUACGAGGAGCUUGCUCCUCUGACGUUAGCGGCGGACGGGUGAGUAACACGUGGAUAACCUACCUAUAAGACUGGGAUAACUUCGGGAAACCGGAGCUAAUACCGGAUAAUAUAUUGAACCGCAUGGUUCAAUAGUGAAAGACGGUUUUGCUGUCACUUAUAGAUGGAUCCGCGCCGCAUUAGCUAGUUGGUAAGGUAACGGCUUACCAAGGCAACGAUGCGUAGCCGACCUGAGAGGGUGAGCGGCCACACUGGAACUGAGACACGGUCAAGACUCCUACGGGAGGCAGCAGUAGGGAAUCUUCCGCAAUGGGCGAAAGCCUGACGGAGCAACGCCGCGUGAGUGAUGAAGGUCUUCGGAUCGUAAAACUCUGUUAUUAGGGAAGAACAAAUGUGUAAGUAACUAUGCACGUCUUGACGGUACCUAAUCAGAAAGCCACGGCUAACUACGUG
This 497-nucleotide ribosomal RNA is filed under the name uncultured bacterium. RNAcentral's name for it is "partial 16S ribosomal RNA". It matches the Rfam family "Bacterial small subunit ribosomal RNA", at positions 28 to 507 of the family's 1533-position model. The record is from RNAcentral.